CGGUAAUAAAAUACUGGGCAUUGUCUUGUAAUUGGAAUGAUGGUGAUGUAAAAUCUCACCAGAGUAACAAUUGGAGGGCAAGUCUGGUGCCAGCAGCCGCGGUAAUUCCAGCUCCAAUAGCGUAUAUUAAACUUGUUGCAGUUAAAAAGCUCGUAGUUGAAUUUCUGCGUUGCCCGACUCGGCUACUUGCCUUGUCUGGUUUCGCUUUUGGGGUUUUCCCCUUUUUACUUUGAGAAAAUUAGAGUGUUUCAAGCAGACUUGUGUCUUGAAUACUUCAGCAUGGAAUAAUAAAGUAGGACUUUGGUUCUAUUUUGUUGGUUUGUGAACCUUAGUAAUGGUUAAUAGGAACGGUUGGGGGCAUUCGUAUUUAAA
This 372-nucleotide ribosomal RNA is filed under the name Babesia gibsoni. Its description in RNAcentral is "SSU rRNA". It matches the Rfam family "Eukaryotic small subunit ribosomal RNA", at positions 472 to 902 of the family's 1831-position model. The record is from RNAcentral. Lineage: Eukaryota; Apicomplexa; Aconoidasida; Piroplasmida; Babesiidae.